Limulus polyphemus (Atlantic horseshoe crab) is the source of this 517-nucleotide long non-coding RNA. RefSeq lists it as uncharacterized. The record is from RefSeq and is a predicted model, not a curated record. The transcript is spliced from 2 exons. Lineage: Eukaryota; Metazoa; Arthropoda; Merostomata; Xiphosura; Limulidae.
ACAAGGACGGUAUGGUAAGUAGAAUGUGUUCGUUUCACUGAACUGUUGAAACAAGGACGGUAUGAUCCUAUGGCAAUUGAAGAACAAGUAGCAGUCAUCUACACUGGUGUUCGAGGCUACUUAGAUAAACUUGAUCCUUCUGCCAUCAACAAGUUUGAAAAGGAAUUCUUGCAACAUAUACGUGGCACCCAGAGGGACCUGCUUCACACAAUAGCCACAGAAGGAAUGAUCAGUGAAGAGAGUGAACCAAGCUAAAGAAAUUGGUUACAGACUUCUUACAAACCUUUCAGCCUUAAGAGAGAAUUAAAGCAAGUAGUUAAGAAAGCACCAUAAAUCAUUCUCAAAAAGUCAGUUAUGUAGAGGGAUCAAUCCUUUAACAAGUCUGGUUGCUGUAGCUGUAAUUAAAGUUAACCAUGAAUAUUAAAGAUAAACUUUCUGUGGGGUGAAGUGUUCAGGUUGAAAAACAAGCAAUUUUGUCACACAAGUUUUUUUGAAUUAAAGAACAUUUUAAGUGCUA